RNAcentral lists this ribosomal RNA (460 nucleotides) under uncultured bacterium. Its description in RNAcentral is "partial 16S ribosomal RNA". It matches the Rfam family "Bacterial small subunit ribosomal RNA", at positions 338 to 795 of the family's 1533-position model. The record is from RNAcentral.
CCUACGGGAGGCAGCAGUGAGGAAUAUUGGUCAAUGGGCGCGAGCCUGAACCAGCCAAGUAGCGUGAAGGAUGACUGCCCUACGGGUUGAAAAUUUUUUUUAUAAAGGAAUAACGUGUGGCAUGUGUGCCUUUUUGCAUGUACUUUAUGCAUAGGAAUCGCCGAACCCCGUGCCAGCAGCCGCGGUAAUACGGAGGUUCCGAUCGUUAUCCGGAUUUAUUGGGUUUAAAGGGAGCGUAGAGGGGUUGUUAAGUCAGUUGUGAAGGUUUGCGGCUCAACCGUAAAAUUGCAAUUGAUACUGGCAGGCUUGAGUACAGUUGAGGUAGGCGGAAUUCGUGGUGUAGCGGUGAAAUGCUUAGAUAUCACGAAGAACACCGGUUGCGAAGGCAGCUUACUAAACUGCAACUGACAUUGAUGCGCGAAAGUGUGGGUAGCAAACAGGAUUAGAUACCCGAGUAGUC